UACGACUACAUAUCAGGCAUAUCAAUAAGCGGAGGAAAAGAAACUAACUAAGGAUUCCCUCAGUAACGGCGAGUGAAGCGGGAAGAGCUCAAAUUUGAAAUCUUCAAGGUUUUACCUUGACGAAUUGUAGUUUAAAGAAGUGUAUUCUGUUGAAGUUUUGGUAAGAGUUCUUUGGAAUAGGACAUCAUAGAGGGUGAGAAUCCCGUAUUUGACCAUUAUUUUCAGCUGUGUGAUACACUUUCAAAGAGUCGGAUUGUUUGGGAAUGCAGUCCAAAAUGGGUGGUAAAUUUCAUCUAAAGCUAAAUAUUGGCGAGAGACCGAUAGCGAACAAGUACCGUGAGGGAAAGAUGAAAAGAACUUUGAAAAGAGAGUUAAACAGUACGUGAAAUUGUCAAAAGGGAAGCGUUUGACACCAGUGUUGUUUUCUCGAAAAUCAAUUAAAAAAAGUUGGAUUUUGUGUUGUAUUGACCUUAACAGCUUGCUUCACUCUUUUCCAGCUUUUUUUAAUGCACUUUUCGUUUAACAAGUCAACAUCAGUUUCUUUUGUUGUAAAAGGGUCAUUGGAAGGUGGCUUUCUCUUCGGAGAAAGUGUUUAUAGCCUUUGAUCUCUGCAAUCGGAGAGACUGAGGUCUGCAGCGUAGAUCCUUCGGGGUUAGAUACAUUUGUGCUAAGCUACAGCUUUUCAUAGACAACUUGUUGACUAUGUUUAGUCUUGUGACUUACCCGCUUAUGCUAUUUUACCUACGCUUAGGAUGUUGAGCGCAUGUCUCUCUCU
RNAcentral lists this ribosomal RNA (775 nucleotides) under uncultured Neocallimastigales. RNAcentral describes it as "partial large subunit ribosomal RNA". It matches the Rfam family "Eukaryotic large subunit ribosomal RNA", at positions 24 to 616 of the family's 3401-position model. The record is from RNAcentral. Lineage: Eukaryota; Fungi; Neocallimastigomycota; Neocallimastigomycetes; Neocallimastigales.